RNAcentral lists this ribosomal RNA (253 nucleotides) under uncultured bacterium. RNAcentral's name for it is "partial 16S ribosomal RNA". It matches the Rfam family "Bacterial small subunit ribosomal RNA", at positions 524 to 776 of the family's 1533-position model. The record is from RNAcentral.
UACAGAGGUCUCAAGCGUUGUUCGGAUUCAUUGGGCGUAAAGGGUGCGUAGGCGGUCUGUCGCGUCGGCUGUGAAAACCCGGGGCUCAACCCCGGGCCUGCAGUCGAUACGGGCAGACUAGAGUGCGGUAGGGGAGACUGGAAUUCCUGGUGUAGCGGUGAAAUGCGCAGAUAUCAGGAGGAACACCGGUGGCGAAGGCGGGUCUCUGGGCCGUAACUGACGCUGAGGAGCGAAAGCGUGGGGAGCGAACAGG